GGGCACUUAGUUUAGUGGUAUAAUAUUCGCUUCGCACUGAGCAAUCUCAAGCGCUUGCGAGAGGUCGUGGGUUCAAUUCCCACAGUGUCCA
Macrolepiota fuliginosa MF-IS2 is the source of this 91-nucleotide non-coding RNA. NCBI's taxonomy places the organism in Eukaryota, Fungi, Basidiomycota, Agaricomycetes, Agaricales, Agaricaceae. The record is from the annotation of a GenBank genome assembly.